This 1238-nucleotide long non-coding RNA is filed under the name Olea europaea subsp. europaea. The record is from RNAcentral. Lineage: Eukaryota; Viridiplantae; Streptophyta; Magnoliopsida; Lamiales; Oleaceae.
AGCAGAGAGCAGCCCCGGGCCUGAAGGUUUUGGGUCUGGGUUUUACAUCUUGUGUUGGGAAUUGGUGAAGGACGACAUAGUGGAGGCAGUGAGAGAAUUUUUCAUGGGUAGCUCACUACCCAGAUUUUACACCUCUUUAUUCAUUGUCUUAAUUCCGAAAGUAAACCAACCUAGGAGUUUUGAAAAGUUUAGGCCUAUUAGCCUUUGCUCAGUCAUUUACAAAGCUUUUUCAAAGAUCCUUGUCAAGCGUAUGACAUGGUUGCUCCCAAACCUGAACAGGGAUCAUUUAUUCCAAAUAGAAACAUUUUGAGAACAUCACCCUUACCCAGGAAAUGAUCCACUCUUUGAACAGGAAAACCAGAGGUGGUAAUGCUAUGUUAAAAAUCGACAUGGCAAAGGCUUAUGAUAGAGUAGACCGGAGGUUUUUCCUACACGUGCUUGAAGAAUUUGGCUUCUCUAAAAGGUUUUACGACUUGGUGGCAGAGUGUGUUACAACUCCUUAGUUUUCAAUAAUGAUGAAUGGGACUCAUAAAGGUUUCUUCCAACCUAGCAGAGGGCUCCAUCAAGGCGAUCCUUUGUCUCCUAAUUUGUUCAACAUUAUGGAAGAGAUUUUAUCACGUCUCUUACGCAAGAGGUUUGAAGAAGGCAGUAUUGUGAGGUUCUAUCAUCCUAUUGGGGCCCCUUUGGUCUCACAUCUAUUAUAUGCCAAUGAUGUAGUAGUAUUUGCGAAUGGAGGUAGACGAUCUAUAAAAAUGCUCAUGAAGACCCUGAAAACAUAUGAAAAGUGAUCGGGACAAUUGAUAAAUCAACUAUUUUCUUCUCUAGAAGGAUCAUCUAUAGAAGGAAGAGGAGCUUGCUACGGUUAACUGAUUUUACUGAGGGACAGUUCCCAGUGGUUGACUUAGGAGUGCCUAUUACUUCUGGCUGUCUCACGGCUAGGCAUUUGAAGACUUCAGUAGCGAAAAUUUGCAACAAAUUAGCAGGUUGGAAAAUGAGGUUACUGUCUCAAUGAGGUCGCCUUAUUUUAAUCCGACAUGUUGUGACCCGUAUGGCAACACAUUUGUUGGCUAUGGUUAAUGUGCCAAAGAUAACUCUCAAUAACACGAACUCAUUAUCUACAUUCCUCUAGGUGAGGGUAAUGGAAAACACAUAAAGAAAUGGCGUGCUUGGUCUAAAGUAUGGAUGCCAACUAUAGAGGGUGGACUUGGGGUACGUGAUUUUGCUGCAAUUCAACGAUC